GGCGACAAUAACGUGGGGGCCACACCCGUUCCCUUUCCGAACACGGCCGUUAAGCCCCACAGUGUUGAUGGUACUAUGUGGGCAACUGCAUGGGAGAGUAAAACGUCGCC
RNAcentral lists this ribosomal RNA (110 nucleotides) under candidate division BRC1 bacterium ADurb.Bin183. Lineage: Bacteria; Candidatus Sumerlaeota. The record is from RNAcentral.